GGCCCGGAGACCCCAUAAGCGAUGCACUGAUGGCGUCCAGCGCUCCUGGUGCAAGUGCAAGCUGAUCACCAUCUGGCGCCGCGGCGAGAUCCUGAGGCGCCGUGUGUUGGUGUAAGCCAGCUGAUGUGUCAUGACUUGUGACGUGGAGGAUAGCAGAGGCGGGAGCGGGAGCGCUGAAGUUUGAAUGACCCACGCACGGGAGCAGUUGCAGCUGAAGCGGUGACCACGUACACGAUCGCGACGUCGAGAGGCGGUUUUCACUGACAAGCUUAUGUAUCACGUUUUUAGCAGUUCUGUGUGUGUCACAGUGUGUGUAAGCUAUUGGUAUAAAUAGCUGGAUGUUUAGUGCGUGAGUUAGUGCUUUGGAGUUGGUUGUAAACUCAUUGAACUCUUUGUGAACAGAGGUGAAAAGGGGAGCCGACGCCCUGUCGGCAGUUUCUGUGUUCAUCCCUUGUUCUUGAUCGAUUAGGCCUAGCCACUGAAAUCUUGCUCGUGAUUGUUGAUCCAUCACUUACAUCUGGUAUCAGAGCCUUCAAUCACUUGCAAAUUGACAUCGAAAUCCAGCCAUGAGUGACCGGAGUGGAGUCGCAGGCGGCGGUGACCGUGGGGAUCGGAUUAAUUAUCCGGCUCUCACAGCGACCAAUUAUACCAGUUGGUCGAUCCGUGUCAAGGCAAUCAUGGAGGAUCAAGGUGUUUGGGAGAUCGUGGAGCCGUCCGGGGAGACGUCGGAGCGGGAUGCGACGGCAGUUGCGGCGGCAAAGGCGAAAGAUCGGAGGGCGAAGGCGUGUCUGCUUCAGUGUUUACCCGACGACAUCCUGAUGCAAGUCGCGGCAAAGAAGACUGGGAAGGAGGUCUGGGACUCGCUGAAGGCGAGAUUUGUAGGCGAGGAGCGGGUGAAGGAGGCUCGUUUGCAGACGCUGAAAAGCGAGUUUGAUGCGCUGAGAAUGAGGGAAGAGGAGACAAUCGAUGUCUAUGCCGGGAAACUGACGAGUAUGUCAGUGAGGUAUGGAAAUUUAGGUGGUUCGUUGGAUGAUGCUGCACUAGUGAAGAAGAUGUUCGACACUGUGCCGGAUCGCUACAUCAACGUAAUCGCCGGGAUCGAGCAGUUCUUUGAUCUGAAGAAACUUGCUUUCGAUGAAGCAGUCGGGAGGUUGAAGGCUUUUGAGGAGCGCACCAAGAAGGGUUCAAGCAGUGCAAGGACUAGUGAUGGUCAAGUGCUGUUGACACAAGCCGAGUGGGAAGCCCGGCAGAAGAAGAUGUCAGGAGAGAACUCUGGUGGUGGGCGAGGUCAUGGCAGCAGCCGAGGACGAGGUCGUGGUCGCGGUGGUGGUAACAGUGGCCGUGGCACUCAAGCUGAUGGAGCCAAGGAUGGCUCAGGGAAGAAGGACAAGAGUCAUGUGAAAUGCUUCAAGUGUCAUCUUUAUGGACAUUAUGCCAACAAAUGUCCAGGAGAAAAGAAGAAGGAAGAAGAAGCUCACCAUGUCAAAAAGGUGGAACAUGAGCCCACUGUACUGCUUGCUGAAUCAGUGGAGUCAGGACAGUCAGUACAGGAGUUAGCUGAAAGGUUACAGGGUCGAGUUGAGGUAUGUCUGAAUGAGAUGCAUCUGAAUCCUGAACUGCAUUUCACUGGCAGUGAGGAGUUGUGUGGUGAUGUGUGGUACCUAGACAAUGGUGCCAGCAACCAUAUGACAGGAGAUCGACAGAAGUUCAGAGAUCUCGACACCACCAUUGGUGGCAAGGUACGCUUUGGUGAUGGUUCUUCAGUAGAAAUUCAUGGUAGAGGCUCUAUUCUGUUUCAAGGCCCUUCAGGAGAUCAGUGGAUCCUAAAUCAUGUCUAUUACAUUCCUAAGUUGAAAAGCAAUCUUGUUAGCUUAGGACAGUUGACUGAAAUAGGAUACAGAAUUGUGCUUGAUGAUGACUUGAUUGAAGUGGUAGAGAAAAGCUCAGGUAGAGUAAUCAUGAGAGUUCAUAGAUCAGUAAACAGAUUGUAUAAAGUUGAUCUAGAGUCUGUUGAGCCAGUGUGUUUUCAAGCAAGUGUUGGUGAUCAGUCAUGGUUAUGGCAUGGUAGGUUGGGCCAUGUCAAUUUCAAAUCAAUUAAAAUGUUGGCUGAAAAGGAAAUGGCUGGGGGGGUACCUCUGAUAAAACACCCUGAUCAAGUGUGUCAUUCUUGUUUGUCAGCAAAACAAACAAGAAAGUCUUUUCCUCAGUGUGCCAUGUGGAGGGCAGAUGAGCCUUUGGAACUGGUACAUGUUGAUCUGUGUGGACCUAUAACACCUGAGACAGCAGGGGGUAACAAGUAUUUCAUGUUGAUAGUUGAUGACAGUACAAGGUGGAUGUCAGCCUUCUUUCUGAAAACCAAAGACCAAGCUGUAUCAGCUUUUGUCAGGUACAAGGCAGUAGCAGAAAACAGCAGUGGCAGCAAAAUUAAGGUGGUGAGAUCUGAUAGGGGUGGUGAAUUCUUAGCAACAGCUUUUAGAGAAGUGUGUGAACAAGCUGGGAUUAUGAGACAAUUCGCUGCACCCUACUCACCACAACAGAAUGGAGUUGUUGAGAGAAGGAACAGGACUGUCAUGGAGAUGGCAAGAUCUCUUCUGAAAAGCAUGAAGGUUCCUGGAUGUUUUUGGGCAGAAGCUGUGAAACAUUCAGUUUAUUUGUUGAAUAGAUUGCCAACCAAAGCCAUGGGUUUGAGAACACCAUUUGAAGGCUGGACUGGCAGGAAACCCCAGUUGGGACAUCUCAGAGUGUUUGGUUGUAGAGCAAAUGUUAGACCUGCAGAGCCUCAUCUAAAGAAACUAGAUGACAGGAGUGUUGGCAUGGUUUAUUUUGGAGUGGAAGAUGGCAGCAAAGCUCAUAGACUGUACAAUCCACAAACAAAUAAAAUUAUAGUCAGCAGGGAUGUCAUUUUUGAGGAAGCAGUGUCAUGGAAGUGGGAAUCAGAGUUUGGUGAGAACUCAGAUUUCAUUGUUGAGGAUAAUUCAGAAUUAUUCUCUCAACCCUGGACUGGUGGACAAGAUGUGGAAAAUCAUCAUGGAGUUCAAAACUCAGGGGGAGUUGACAAUCUUGGUGGAGUUCAAAAUGAUGAUCACACAUUUGAUGUAGCAGCAGUUCCAGUAGAAUCAGGAGAAACCUCACAGACCACCACUGUUCAUGGUCAGACAACAGAAACAGAUGUUUCAGUUGAUGCAGGAGCAGAUCAUGAUUAUGCAGAGAUGGAUGUUGAUGGGACAAUUGACAUUGAUGAUGGUCCUGUGAGAUUCAGAAACCUGAAUGAUGUGUAUCAAGACAGUGUGGAAGUGGAGUUAACUUCUGACACAGAGAUUGAUGCACUAUUAACAGUGAUGGAGGAACCAAACUGUUAUAAAAAUGCAGCUGGUGACAGAGAUUGGGUGGCAGCAAUGGACAGUGAGAUCCAAUCCAUCAAUAAGAACAAGACUUGGGAAUUGGUGGAGCUACCAGCUGGUCACAAACCAAUUGGGUUGAAGUGGGUUUACAAGUUGAAGAAAAAUGCAGAAGGAGAGGUGGUGAAGCACAAAGCUAGGUUAGUUGCAAAAGGCUACGUGCAAAAGCAUGGUAUUGAUUUUGAGGAGGUUUUUGCUCCAGUUGCAAGACUUGAUACUGUGAGAUUGAUCUUAGCCAUUGCAGCAAACAGAAAUUGGGAAGUGCAUCACCUUGAUGUCAAAACUGCCUUUCUCAAUGGUGAACUUGCAGAAGAUGUGUAUGUAUCUCAACCAGAAGGUUUUGUGAAGAAAGGAAAAGAGCAGAUGGUGCUAAAGUUGAACAAAGCUCUAUAUGGACUGAAACAAGCUCCAAGAGCUUGGAACAUCAAGCUUGACAGCAGUCUAAAGAAACUUGGUUUCAAAAAAUGCCUGACUGAACCUGCAGUAUAUAUCAGAGGACAUGGACUGUCAGCCUUGAUGAUUGGUGUAUAUGUGGAUGACUUGAUAGUGACUGGUGGAAAACUGGCAGAAAUUGUAGCCUUUAAGCAGGAGAUGACCUCAGUGUUUGAUAUGAGUGAUCUGGGAAAACUUUCAUUCUAUCUGGGUAUUGAGGUGGAGCAGAAAGAAGACUACAUAGCUAUCAAGCAAACAGGUUAUGCCAAGAAAGUGUUAAGUCAGUUUGGAAUGACUGACUGCAACUCAACCAAGUGCCCAAUGGAUCCAGGAGUGAAAUUAGAUGCAGAUAAACAAGGAGAAAGAGUUGAUGCAACUCAUUUCAGGAGAAUUAUUGGUUGCCUGAGAUAUUUGCUUCAUACUAGGCCAGAUCUUGCUUUCUCAGUUGGGAUGACUAGUAGGUUCAUGGAAAAACCAACAGUCAAGCAUCUAAAUGCAGUUAAGCAAAUCCUGAGAUAUUUGAAGGGUACUUUGAAUUAUGGGUUAGUUUAUACCCAAGAAAAGAAGGAAGAACUGUUAGUGGGUUACACUGACAGUGAUGUUGGAGGUGAUGUUGUGAAUAGGAAAAGCACUGGAGGGAUGGCCUUUUAUGUCAAUGAAAGUCUGGUGACUUGGAAUUCACACAAAGAGAAAACAGUGGCAUUGUCAUCUUGUGAAGCUGAGUUUAUGGCAGCUACAGCAGCAGCUAAGCAAGCUUUGUGGCUCAGAAAUCUUUUGAGUGAGCUCACUGGUACUCAGCCUAAAGUAGUGACACUGAUGGUGGACAACAAUUCUGCAAUAGCUCUAAUGAAGAAUCCAGUGUUUCAUGGCAGAAGCAAACAUAUUGAUAUCAAGUAUCAUUUCAUCCGAGAAUGUGUGGAGCGUGGACAGAUUGUUGUGAAGAAAGUUGGCACUCUGGAUCAGAAGGCUGACUCUCUGACAAAGCCUUUGGCAGCAGUGAAGUUUGCUGUAAUGAAACACCUGUUAGGUGUUCGGGAGCUUGAGGAUCAUCAGGCUUAAGGGGGAGAUUGUUGGUGUAAGCCAGCUGAUGUGUCAUGACUUGUGACGUGGAGGAUAGCAGAGGCGGGAGCGGGAGCGCUGAAGUUUGAAUGACCCACGCACGGGAGCAGUUGCAGCUGAAGCGGUGACCACGUACACGAUCGCGACGUCGAGAGGCGGUUUUCACUGACAAGCUUAUGUAUCACGUUUUUAGCAGUUCUGUGUGUGUCACAGUGUGUGUAAGCUAUUGGUAUAAAUAGCUGGAUGUUUAGUGCGUGAGUUAGUGCUUUGGAGUUGGUUGUAAACUCAUUGAACUCUUUGUGAACAGAGGUGAAAAGGGGAGCCGACGCCCUGUCGGCAGUUUCUGUGUUCAUCCCUUGUUCUUGAUCGAUUAGGCCUAGCCACUGAAAUCUUGCUCGUGAUUGUUGAUCCAUCACUUACA
Molecule: long non-coding RNA, 5310 nt
Filed under: Sorghum bicolor (sorghum)
Lineage: Eukaryota; Viridiplantae; Streptophyta; Magnoliopsida; Poales; Poaceae
Description: long non-coding RNA (SBIC_LNC013246)
Source: RNAcentral